AUACGUAGGAUGCAAGCGUUGUCCGGAAUUACUGGGCGUAAAGGGUCCGUAGGCGGUUUGUUAAGUCUCCUGUGAAAGUUCAGGGCUCAACCCUGAAAUGUCGGGGGAUACUGGCAAACUUGAGACUGUCAGAGGCAAGUGGAAUUCCCGGUGUAGUGGUGAAAUGCGUAGAUAUCGGGAGGAACACCAGUGGCGAAAGCGGCUUGCUGGGACAGUUCUGACGCUGAGGGACGAAAGCGUGGGUAGCAAACCGGAUUAGAUACCCGAGUAGUCC
Molecule: ribosomal RNA, 274 nt
Filed under: uncultured bacterium
Lineage: Bacteria
Description: partial 16S ribosomal RNA
Rfam family: Bacterial small subunit ribosomal RNA
Source: RNAcentral